RNAcentral lists this transfer RNA (79 nucleotides) under Candidatus Bathyarchaeota archaeon. Its description in RNAcentral is "tRNA-Pro". It matches the Rfam family "tRNA". From Rfam's summary of the family: Transfer RNA (tRNA) molecules are approximately 80 nucleotides in length. Their secondary structure includes four short double-helical elements and three loops (D, anti-codon, and T loops). Further hydrogen bonds mediate the characteristic L-shaped molecular structure. tRNAs have two regions of fundamental functional importance: the anti-codon, which is responsible for specific mRNA codon recognition, and the 3' end, to which the tRNAs corresponding amino acid is attached (by aminoacyl-tRNA synthetases). tRNAs cope with the degeneracy of the genetic code in two manners: having more than one tRNA (with a specific anti-codon) for a particular amino acid; and 'wobble' base-pairing, i.e. permitting non-standard base-pairing at the 3rd anti-codon position. Lineage: Archaea; Thermoproteati; Candidatus Bathyarchaeota. The record is from RNAcentral.
GGGGCCGUCGUCUAGUUUGGUCUAGGAUACCAGCCUGGGGCGCUGGCGAUCCCGGGUUCAAAUCCCGGCGGCCCCACCA